GGGGGCUUUCCCCUCCCCUGUAGCCGCCGCCGCCUUCCUCCAGGGGUUCUUCCCCUUCCCUGGCGCCGUCGGCCCUCUCCCUCCCUCCCUCGGCCGUCGGCCUCCACCCUUCCCCGGCGCUCCUCCCGCCGCCGGAGCCGUCGGUCGAGCGCUGCGCGCGCUGCUCUACGGACGCCGCGCGCCGUUCGCGGGAGCGCUCCUGCUUUUCUGCAUCGGCGCCGUCAGCGCUGCGGUCGCCACCGCCGCUGCGUGGCUCUCCCUCCCUGGAUCCGCGAGCACCCUGCACGUGCGCCCUGCAGUGCUGCCUCCCACGGAUCCGCCGCGGGCCCGCGCCAUCGGCCCCUCGCCUGCGGCUCGGUUUCACUACACGGUGGUCGGCGGCGGCUUCACCUCCGGCUUCCACCGCCCGUCCACCACAGUGCCGCCUCCUGCGCUCCAGUCUGCAGCCUCGUCGGCCUCCACCAGCGCUGUCUUGCAGCAGCAGCCUCCGUCGCCGAUCCGGACGCCUGCUCGCCGCCGUCGCCUGUCCGGCCGCCUGCGCACCGACCAACAACCCUCCAUCGCUCCCCUGCGUCGGUCCGGUCGCCUGCGCGCCGCCGGCUGCCUACCCUGCGCCCCUGCGCAGCCAGCCGUCGACGACCAUCUCCCCUAGGCCCGGCCGCCGCCUCCUGUUGGCGUCCCCGCUGCUCGACAGCCUUCUCCUUCCUGCUGUUCCUGUCUCGCCGCGCCCCUGCUGUCCCGUGCCUUGGACGCCCGACGCCGAGCAAUCUGCCGCCCCUGCUGUUGCGCGCCCGGUUGUCCAGUCCGCGCCUCCCUGCGUCGGCCUGCACCGGUCGCCAUGAGCUUUACCUCGCCCGCUGCUCUCGUGACUGUGCGUGUCCUCCUCUACGACGGCCAGCUCAUCCGGGGCAUGUUCGUGUCCUUCGACCCAGUCUGGAACCCUAUUCUUCGGGACUGCGUCGAGGUCCACCCUCAGGCGGGCCGUCACGUGCCUGGACCGCUUGUCUUCCCACGUGCUGCGAUCGCCUCCCUAGCGGUUGAGCCCGUGUCAUCUCCCUCCCUUCCUCGUGCCUCCGUCGGGACACCUUCUUUGGCCCUCUCCGCUCACACCGUACCUUCGCCACUUCCACCUCCCCGAACUACCACUGAUUGGGUGGUUGACUCCGGGGCCUCCUUCCACACUACCCCCACCACUACUUCGUUACUCCACUCCCAUCCACCCCACCCCUCACAUCCUACCUCCAUCGUCGUCGACAACGGUUCCAC
RNAcentral lists this unclassified non-coding RNA (1266 nucleotides) under Zea mays. RNAcentral describes it as "misc RNA Zm00001eb222630". The record is from RNAcentral. Lineage: Eukaryota; Viridiplantae; Streptophyta; Magnoliopsida; Poales; Poaceae.